This is a transfer RNA of Tetrahymena thermophila SB210, 72 nucleotides long. It matches the Rfam family "tRNA". Rfam says of the family: Transfer RNA (tRNA) molecules are approximately 80 nucleotides in length. Their secondary structure includes four short double-helical elements and three loops (D, anti-codon, and T loops). The record is from Rfam. Lineage: Eukaryota; Ciliophora; Oligohymenophorea; Hymenostomatida; Tetrahymenidae.
GGUUGUAUAGUGUAGUGGUUAUCACAGAGGAUUCUGAUUCCUUUGACCUGGGUUCGAAUCCCAGUACGACCU